AUUGAACGCUGGCGGCAGGCCUAACACAUGCAAGUCGAGCGGAGCGGCGGACGGGUGAGUAAUGCCUAGGAAUCUGCCUGUUAGUGGGGGAUACCGUCCGGAAACGGGCGCUAAUACCGCAUACUAUCAGAUGAGCCUAGGUCGGAUUAGCUAGUUGGUGGGGUAAUGGCUUACCAAGGCGACGAUCCGGACCUGGUCUGAGAGGAUGAUCAGUCACACUGGAACGGAGACACGGUCCAGACUCCUACGGGAGGCAGCAGUGGGGAAUAUUGGACAAUGGGCGAAAGCCUGAUCCAGCCAUGCCGCGUGAGUGAAGAAGGUCUUCGGAUUGUAAAGCACUUUAAGUUGGGAAGCGUUACCAAAAGAAUAAGCACCGGCUAACUUCGUGCCAGCAGCCGCGGUAAUUC
This 407-nucleotide ribosomal RNA is filed under the name uncultured bacterium. RNAcentral describes it as "partial 16S ribosomal RNA". It matches the Rfam family "Bacterial small subunit ribosomal RNA", at positions 30 to 526 of the family's 1533-position model. The record is from RNAcentral.